GUCAGUAUUUUUCAGUAAAUUGUUGCCCAUUACACAUUAUGCAUGUAAUAGUGAAAUGUUUUAUGAACCGUACGAUAUAUUUAGAUAGUUUGAGGUAUAAAAUAGUGUUUAAUAAAUUCGUGUUUUAAAAUAUAAAAUAGAGUGUGUCUGCGCUGAUUCCUGCGCAAAAAAGUAUCAGCGUCAUCAUGGAGUCCAUGUCUAAGCCAUAGACUUAAAGUGACCUAGUGACCAUGUCAUGGAUUCAAUUGGAUUAAGCCCCCUAAAAAAACCCUAAACCUCUAGUGUUGGGUAGUACAAAAGAUGAGUUUUUUUAAAAGAGAUGAAGCAUUGGAGAGUAUAGCAACAAGACGAUAUUAUGUUCUAUAUUCUAUUAUGAUCGUAUGUAAUUAUGUCCGUCUACAAUUAUAUUACUAUACUAUAUAGACAUAUAAAGAAAAUCAGAAAAUGUGAGUGCAGUGAAUGAGUACAUACGCGACGCGUAGUUAGUUUGUUGAAUCCUUUGAAUCCCAGAAGUAUAACAUGGCUGAAAAAGAAAGAAACCAUGUGUGGACGGCUUAGAUUUAUAUACAGGAAAAGCCCGUUUCAUUGGAAUUAUAGAUACUGGAACUGAGAAUUUUUUCCUGGCGUCAUGCGUCAUCCUGAACACAAUUCAAAAAGUUGCAAAUCAAUAGAUGUCUUAUUUAAAAAUAAAUAUAUUUUUCCUAAAUGUCCUGGUCUAAUAGCCCGAUCAAAGAACACAAAACUAACAAAAACUUCAAAAACAAAAUUAGGAAGAAUGAAAAUUCGCUGAUACGUAAUUGAAAUGAUCUAUUUAGUCCAGAAAGCCACUGCGCAUCCGCUAGAAAAAAUAUUCCGAUUCGGAUUUUUUGCACAAUCUUCUUCAAAAAGGACCCCUUAUAUAUAUUUAGGUAUAUUAGGUAUAUUUUGACGAGAUUAUAAAUUAACCAAAGGGACUAUUUUGGGUUGCAGUCUAAUUAAAAUAGUUACCUCGUUGACAAGUGCGUAAGUCAUUGUUAGAAGUUACGCCGAGUGUAAUUAUUAUCAGUAUAGUCCAGAAAGCCACUGCGCAUCCGCUAGGAAAAAUAUUCUAAUUCGGAUUUUUUGCACA
Diabrotica virgifera virgifera (western corn rootworm) is the source of this 1108-nucleotide long non-coding RNA. RefSeq lists it as uncharacterized. The transcript has 3 exons. Lineage: Eukaryota; Metazoa; Arthropoda; Insecta; Coleoptera; Chrysomelidae. The record is from RefSeq and is a predicted model, not a curated record.